RNAcentral lists this ribosomal RNA (208 nucleotides) under uncultured bacterium. RNAcentral describes it as "partial 16S ribosomal RNA". It matches the Rfam family "Bacterial small subunit ribosomal RNA", at positions 568 to 774 of the family's 1533-position model. The record is from RNAcentral.
CUUGUAGGCGGUUUGUCGCGUCUGCCGUGAAAAUCCGGGGCUCAACCCCGGACUUGCGGUGGGUACGGGCAGACUAGAGUGUGGUAGGGGAGACUGGAAUUCCUGGUGUAGCGGUGAAAUGCGCGAGAUAUCAGGAGGAACACCGAUGGCGAAGGCAGGUCUCUGGGCCACUACUGACGCUGAGAAGCGGAAGCGUGGGGAGCGAACA